This 1440-nucleotide ribosomal RNA is filed under the name uncultured Ralstonia sp. RNAcentral's name for it is "16S ribosomal RNA". It matches the Rfam family "Bacterial small subunit ribosomal RNA". The record is from RNAcentral. Lineage: Bacteria; Pseudomonadati; Pseudomonadota; Betaproteobacteria; Burkholderiales; Burkholderiaceae.
ACACAUGCAAGUCGAACGGCAGCAUGAUCUAGCUUGCUAGAUUGAUGGCGAGUGGCGAACGGGUGAGUAAUACAUCGGAACGUGCCCUGUAGUGGGGGAUAACUAGUCGAAAGAUUAGCUAAUACCGCAUACGACCUGAGGGUGAAAGUGGGGGACCGCAAGGCCUCAUGCUAUAGGAGCGGCCGAUGUCUGAUUAGCUAGUUGGUGAGGUAAAGGCUCACCAAGGCGACGAUCAGUAGCUGGUCUGAGAGGACGAUCAGCCACACUGGGACUGAGACACGGCCCAGACUCCUACGGGAGGCAGCAGUGGGGAAUUUUGGACAAUGGGGGCAACCCUGAUCCAGCAAUGCCGCGUGUGUGAAGAAGGCCUUCGGGUUGUAAAGCACUUUUGUCCGGAAAGAAAUCGCACUUACUAAUAUUAGGUGUGGAUGACGGUACCGGAAGAAUAAGGACCGGCUAACUACGUGCCAGCAGCCGCGGUAAUACGUAGGGUCCAAGCGUUAAUCGGAAUUACUGGGCGUAAAGCGUGCGCAGGCGGUUGUGCAAGACCGAUGUGAAAUCCCCGGGCUUAACCUGGGAAUUGCAUUGGUGACUGCACGGCUAGAGUGUGUCAGAGGGGGGUAGAAUUCCACGUGUAGCAGUGAAAUGCGUAGAGAUGUGGAGGAAUACCGAUGGCGAAGCAGCCCCCUGGGAUAACACUGACGCUCAUGCACGAANNNNNGGGAGCAAACAGGAUNAGAUACCCUGGUAGUCCACGCCCUAAACGAUGUCAACUAGUUGUUGGGGAUUCAUUUCUUAGUAACGUAGCUAACGCGUGAAGUUGACCGCCUGGGGAGUACGGUCGCAAGAUUAAAACUCAAAGGAAUUGACGGGGACCCGCACAAGCGGUGGAUGAUGUGGAUUAAUUCGAUGCAACGCGAAAAACCUUACCUACCCUUGACAUGCCACUAACGAAGCAGAGAUGCAUUAGGUGCUCGAAAGAGAAAGUGGACACAGGUGCUGCAUGGCUGUCGUCAGCUCGUGUCGUGAGAUGUUGGGUUAAGUCCCGCAACGAGCGCAACCCUUGUCUCUAGUUGCUACGAAAGGGCACUCUAGAGAGACUGCCGGUGACAAACCGGAGGAAGGUGGGGAUGACGUCAAGUCCUCAUGGCCCUUAUGGGUAGGGCUUCACACGUCAUACAAUGGUGCAUACAGAGGGUUGCCAAGCCGCGAGGUGGAGCUAAUCCCAGAAAAUGCAUCGUAGUCCGGAUCGUAGUCUGCAACUCGACUACGUGAAGCUGGAAUCGCUAGUAAUCGCGGAUCAGCAUGCCGCGGUGAAUACGUUCCCGGGUCUUGUACACACCGCCCGUCACACCAUGGGAGUGGGUUUUGCCAGAAGUAGUUAGCCUAACCGCAAGGGGGGCGAUUACCACGGCAGGGUUCAUGACUGGGGUGAAGUCG